UGGAAUAAUGAAAUAGGACGUUUGAUCCUAUUUUGUUGGUUUCUAGGAUUGACGUAAUGAUUAAUAGGGAUAGUUGGGGGCAUUAGUAUUCAAUUGUCAGAGGUGAAAUUCUUGGAUUUAUUGAAGACUAACUACUGCGAAAGCAUUUGCCAAGGAUGUUUUCAUUAAUCAAGAACGAAAGUUAGGGGAUCGAAGACGAUCAGAUACCGUCGUAGUCUUAACCAUAAACUAUGCCGACUAGGGAUCGGAUGAUGUUAAUUUUUUAAUGACUCAUUCGGCGCCUUACG
RNAcentral lists this ribosomal RNA (287 nucleotides) under uncultured Glomeromycotina. Its description in RNAcentral is "partial 18S ribosomal RNA". It matches the Rfam family "Eukaryotic small subunit ribosomal RNA", at positions 810 to 1092 of the family's 1831-position model. The record is from RNAcentral. Lineage: Eukaryota; Fungi; Glomeromycota.